GACGGACGCUGGCGGCGUGCCUAAUACAUGCAAGUUGAGCGCUGAAGGUUGGUACUUGUACCAACUGGAUGAGCAGCGAACGGGUGAGUAACGCGUGGGGAAUCUGCCUUUGAGCGGGGGACAACAUUUGGAAACGAAUGCUAAUACCGCAUAAAAACUUUAAACACAAGUUUUAAGUUUGAAAGAUGCAAUUGCAUCACUCAAAGAUGAUCCCGCGUUGUAUUAGCUAGUUGGUGAGGUAAAGGCUCACCAAGGCGAUGAUACAUAGCCGACCUGAGAGGGUGAUCGGCCACAUUGGGACUGAGACACGGCCCAAACUCCUACGGGAGGCAGCAGUAGGGAAUCUUCGGCAAUGGACGAAAGUCUGACCGAGCAACGCCGCGCGAGUGAAGAAGGUUUUCGGAUCGUAAAACUCUGUUGGUAGAGAAGAACGUUGGUGAGAGUGGAAAGCUCAUCAAGUGACGGUAACUACCCAGAAAGGGACGGCUAACUACGUG
Molecule: ribosomal RNA, 497 nt
Filed under: uncultured bacterium
Lineage: Bacteria
Description: partial 16S ribosomal RNA
Rfam family: Bacterial small subunit ribosomal RNA
Source: RNAcentral